RNAcentral lists this ribosomal RNA (496 nucleotides) under uncultured bacterium. RNAcentral describes it as "partial 16S ribosomal RNA". It matches the Rfam family "Bacterial small subunit ribosomal RNA", at positions 28 to 506 of the family's 1533-position model. The record is from RNAcentral.
GAUGAACGCUGGCGGCGUGCCUAAUACAUGCAAGUCGAGCGAACAGACGAGGAGCUUGCUCCUCUGACGUUAGCGGCGGACGGGUGAGUAACACGUGGAUAACCUACCUAUAAGACUGGGAUAACUUCGGGAAACCGGAGCUAAUACCGGAUAAUAUAUUGAACCGCAUGGUUCAAUAGUGAAAGACGGUUUUGCUGUCACUUAUAGAUGGAUCCGCGCCGCAUUAGCUAGUUGGUAAGGUAACGGCUUACCAAGGCAACGAUGCGUAGCCGGCCUGAGAGGGUGAUCGGCCACACUGGAACUGAGACACGGUCCAGACUCCUACGGGAGGCAGCAGUAGGGAAUCUUCCGCAAUGGGCGAAAGCCUGACGGAGCAACGCCGCGUGAGUGAUGAAGGUCUUCGGAUCGUAAAACUCUGUUAUUAGGGAAGAACAAAUGUGUAAGUAACUAUGCACGUCUUGACGGUACCUAAUCAGAAAGCCACGGCUAACUACGU